CUUACACAUGCAGUCGAGGGGCAGCAGGUCUUCGGACGCUGGCGACCGGCAAACGGGUGCGGAACACGUACGCAACAUACCCUUUACAGGGGGAUAGCCCGAAGAAAUUCGGAUUAACACCCCAUAGUAUAAUGGAGAGGCAUCUUUCUGUUAUUAAAAAUUUAUUGGUAAAGGAUUGGCGUGCGUCCCAUUAGAUAGUUGGCGGGGUAACGGCCCACCAAGUCAGCGAUGGGUAGCUGGUGUGAGAGCACGACCAGCCACACGGGCACUGAGACACGGGCCCGACUCCUACGGGAGGCAGCAGUGAGGAAUAUUGGUCAACGGACGCAAGUCUGAACCAGCCAUGCCGCGUGGAGGAUGACAGCCUUCUGGGUUGUAAACUUCUUUUAUAUGGGAAGAAAAGUACGGUUUCUACUGUAUCCGACGGUACCAUAUGAAUAAGCACCGGCUAACUCCGUGCCAGCAGCCGCGGUAAUACGGAGGGUGCAAGCGUUAUCCGGAUUUACUGGGUUUAAAGGGUGUGUAGGCGGAUAUUUAAGUCAGAGGUGAAAUCUCCGAGCUCAACUCGGAAACUGCCUUUGAUACUAUUUAUCUUGAAUUUCGUUGAGGUUGGCGGAAUAUAUCAUGUAGCGGUGAAAUGCAUAGAUAUGAUAUAGAACACCGAUUGCGUACGCGGCUGGCUGAACGAACAUUGACGCUGAGGCACGAAAGCGUGGGUAGCGAACAGGAUUAGAUACCCUGGUAGUCCACGCCCUAAACGAUGAUUACUCGACAUACGCGAUACACAGUGUGUGUCUGAGCGAAAGCAUUAAGUAAUCCACCUGGGAGUACGUCCGCAAGA
RNAcentral lists this ribosomal RNA (841 nucleotides) under uncultured bacterium. RNAcentral's name for it is "bacterial SSU rRNA". It matches the Rfam family "Bacterial small subunit ribosomal RNA", at positions 48 to 893 of the family's 1533-position model. The record is from RNAcentral.